RNAcentral lists this ribosomal RNA (885 nucleotides) under Priestia filamentosa. RNAcentral's name for it is "bacterial SSU rRNA". It matches the Rfam family "Bacterial small subunit ribosomal RNA", at positions 1 to 870 of the family's 1533-position model. The record is from RNAcentral. Lineage: Bacteria; Bacillati; Bacillota; Bacilli; Caryophanales; Bacillaceae.
UAGAGUUUGAUUCAUGCUCAGGACGAACGCUGGCGGCGUGCCUAAUACAUGCAAGUCGAGCGGAGAUUUGAAAAGCUUGCUUUUCAAAUCUUAGCGGCGGACGGGUGAGUAACACGUGGGCAACCUGCCCUUGAGACGGGGAUAACUCCGGGAAACCGGAGCUAAUACCGGAUAACACAUAUCUUCGCAUGAGGAUAUGUUAGAAGGUGGCUUUUAGCUACCACUCAAGGAUGGGCCCGCGGCGCAUUAGCUAGUUGGUGAGGUAACGGCUCACCAAGGCGACGAUGCGUAGCCGACCUGAGAGGGUGAUCGGCCACACUGGGACUGAGACACGGCCCAGACUCCUACGGGAGGCAGCAGUAGGGAAUCUUCCGCAAUGGACGAAAGUCUGACGGAGCAACGCCGCGUGAGUGAUGAAGGUUUUCGGAUCGUAAAGCUCUGUUGUUAGGGAAGAACAAGUACCUGUUAAAUAAGCAGGUACCUUGACGGUACCUAACCAGAAAGCCACGGCUAACUACGUGCCAGCAGCCGCGGUAAUACGUAGGUGGCAAGCGUUGUCCGGAAUUAUUGGGCGUAAAGCGCGCGCAGGCGGUUCCUUAAGUCUGAUGUGAAAGCCCACGGCUCAACCGUGGAGGGUCAUUGGAAACUGGGGAACUUGAGUGCAGAAGAGGAGAGCGGAAUUCCACGUGUAGCGGUGAAAUGCGUAGAGAUGUGGAGGAACACCAGUGGCGAAGGCGGCUCUCUGGUCUGUAACUGACGCUGAGGCGCGAAAGCGUGGGGAGCGAACAGGAUUAGAUACCCUGGUAGUCCACGCCGUAAACGAUGAGUGCUAAGUGUUAGAGGGUUUCCGCCCUUUAGUGCUGCAGCAAACGCAUUAAGCACUCC